This 386-nucleotide ribosomal RNA is filed under the name uncultured bacterium. RNAcentral describes it as "bacterial SSU rRNA". It matches the Rfam family "Bacterial small subunit ribosomal RNA", at positions 30 to 419 of the family's 1533-position model. The record is from RNAcentral.
AUUGAACGCUGGCGGCAUGCCUUACACAUGCAAGUCGAACGGCAGCGGACCUUCGGGUGCCGGCGAGUGGCGAACGGGUGAGUAAUAUAUCGGAACGUACCUUUCAGUGGGGGAUAACGUAGCGAAAGUUACGCUAAUACCGCAUAUUCUGUGAGCAGGAAAGCAGGGAAUCGCAAGACCUUGCGCUGAUUGAGCGGCCGAUAUCAGAUUAGCUAGUUGGUGAGGUAAAGGCUCACCAAGGCGACGAUCUGUAGCGGGUCUGAGAGGAUGAUCCGCCACACUGGAACUGAGACACGGUCCAGACUCCUACGGGAGGCAGCAGUGGGGAAUUUUGGACAAUGGGCGCAAGCCUGAUCCAGCCAUGCCGCGUGAGUGAGAAGGCCUGG